This 129-nucleotide ribosomal RNA is filed under the name Pteropus vampyrus (large flying fox). Lineage: Eukaryota; Metazoa; Chordata; Mammalia; Chiroptera; Pteropodidae. The record is from RNAcentral.
GUCUAUGACCAUGCCACCCUAAAUGGGCCCAAACCCUCCCGAUCCCAUCUGAUCUAGAAAGCUAAGUAGGGUCGGCCCUGGUUAGUACUUGGAUGGGAGAACAUCUAGGAAGACCAGGUGCUGUAGAUG